UAGGGGUUCUGAGACGGAAGGUCCCCCACAUUGGAACUGAGACACGGUCCAAACUCCUACGGAAGGCAGCAG
RNAcentral lists this ribosomal RNA (72 nucleotides) under uncultured bacterium. RNAcentral's name for it is "partial 16S ribosomal RNA". It matches the Rfam family "Bacterial small subunit ribosomal RNA", at positions 284 to 354 of the family's 1533-position model. The record is from RNAcentral.